UUGCUUCAGCGGCACAUAUACUAAAAUUGGAACAAUUCAGAGAAGAUUAGCAUGGCCCCCGCACAUAGAUAACAUGCAAAUCCGUGAAGCAUUCAAAUAAAAA
This is a small nuclear RNA of Ailuropoda melanoleuca (giant panda), 103 nucleotides long. NCBI's taxonomy places the organism in Eukaryota, Metazoa, Chordata, Mammalia, Carnivora, Ursidae. The record is from Ensembl.